GAGCUGCAGUAUGCAGUCGGUAGUGGUGCUCAGCUCGGUUCCGGUUCGUGAGGCUCUCCCAUUGUUUGAAUUCCGGUCGUCUAUGGCUGGUUGACGACCUUUAAGGAGCUCCUUCUAGCUUUGGAUCUUCGUUCUUAACUUUGCUUUAGAACUACUGAGUUGCCGCGACGGCUUCUCCUCUGUAGUCUUUGGUCUCAUCGGGUUACUUUGACAUCCUCUACUGACGCCGGAGGAUGGAUUUUUCAAGUCACAGAAGAUUGGCCUUUGGUUCUCAAAGGCAACAACCGGUGUUGUGAGUUUGGUCAUACUCGCUUCAGCGUCUCGGUUGGUCAUAGGCAUUUCCCAGUAUGAUGUGGGUUGCUUGAUCUAGUCAGUAGUGUCUUUGGCUGGUUCUGUGCAGGUUAUUUGAGGCUCUCCUAAGUGAUGUGUGGCGACUGAGAUCAAGCCCGACUUUUUGCGUCGAAGGCGAGUGUGCAGUGGGACUCCGAUAGCGCUCCUCAGGUAUGCUGUCAUCGUCCCUUCUCUCCUUUGGUGUCUCGUGCUUAAUGGACAAGGAAGAAUGCAAGCUUGGCAAGAUCACUGAAUACUAUCUACUUCAGGCGACGUCCCGGGAACUCCGGCAUCCGAGGCAACAAGGAAAAAUCCACAUUCCCGAGGUUUAACGUCAAUAGAAAAGAACGGUAUUUGGUAGUCUAGUGAUUAUCGAACGCUCUAGCAGAACGCGCCGGAUAGGUGGUGGUGCGAAACUAGAGUUGUAAAGAUGUUGAUCUAGAUCAUUUUGUUCGAGUCAUGUUUGUAUUCAACUUUGAUGCCCUUCCGGGAUUUAUAAAUAAUAUAUAUAUUUAAAAAAAAAAA
RNAcentral lists this long non-coding RNA (855 nucleotides) under Brassica rapa (field mustard). RNAcentral's name for it is "long non-coding RNA (BRAP_LNC005784)". The record is from RNAcentral. Lineage: Eukaryota; Viridiplantae; Streptophyta; Magnoliopsida; Brassicales; Brassicaceae.